CAGGGAGGUGUCUCAGUGACAAGUUUAAUCCCCCUGGGGCUUUACAAACUUGCUGAGUGACCUCCCUGCU
MicroRNA precursor from Bison bison bison, 70 nucleotides. Lineage: Eukaryota; Metazoa; Chordata; Mammalia; Artiodactyla; Bovidae. The record is from Ensembl.